Clupea harengus (Atlantic herring) is the source of this 940-nucleotide long non-coding RNA. RefSeq lists it as uncharacterized. NCBI's taxonomy places the organism in Eukaryota, Metazoa, Chordata, Actinopteri, Clupeiformes, Clupeidae. The record is from RefSeq and is a predicted model, not a curated record.
CAGGGGUCAUGUCUCGCCAGGAAGGCUCUGAUUUACGUCACACCUGUCCGUCAUCACCGGCAGUAUAAAGGAUGAGGGUGCCGUACCGGUGUUGAUAUCUCAUUUGCACAGAGACUGACUGGUGAGUGCGGCUCUUUUUUCACCCCUCUGCAACGGCUAGCCAAAUAAAGAGGAGCAUCGCAAAAUGUCUGGAGUAACUGUCUGCCAACUCGGAGUGUUUCUCCUCUUUCUGUGUUUGUCAGCACAGGUCGUCGCGCAGACGACACCUACGGAGAUGCCGGUGGCUACAACUACCAACUAUACUAUGACUAUGAACGCCUCUGCCGUCACACACAGUUACACCAACGUGACCACGCCUAAAUCUGCCGUGAGCCCACUAAACCCAACCGGCGUGUCCCUGCUCCUUAUCGUCGCCAUGGUUACGUCUAUGCUGCAACGUUUCUUGUAAUGUCACACUUUCUACGUCCCCGCGCACACCUUUCGUAAAACAGAAGAUGCAAUAUUGUACUGAAACUCAGCUGCAAAUUCCUGAAGUUGGUUCAUUAAGGUCGACGAAGUUGCUUAUAAACGGACUCCGGACUCCCGAAUAUAAAUUGAAGGAUCUCUCCCCUGACUUGGACUACGGUCUACACCAUAGGGAUGGGCGCAAGUCAUUUGUUUUGGGCCGGUUUUCAAAUGUUUUUGCCGUUUUUGGAAACUGUUGGUAAAUGCUUAAAGUUUCGUUUGUUCCAAAGCUGUCAGUCGUGCUUGUGGGGGCUUUUCUGCUGUAAAAAAAAAAAAGGCUGUGAGUGUGCCACUGCUUUACAUGUGGGAGGGGCUGAGGGUAUGCUUCUUUGUAAACAAUAGUUUAUAUUUUGUACGAAAUGCAAAACUUGUUUUAAUUGUUAGUUGGAUUAAAAGAAGUUGUAAUUAGAAUGGUCAAUAAAUGGAAGGAAAAAUA